AAAGAUUAAGCCAUGCAUGUAUAAGUACCCUUUUAAAACUGCGAACGGCUCAUUAGAGCUUAUAUAAAGUUUUCGGCUGCCUUUUAGGCUAUCUUCGACAAAUUGAAGCUAAUACAUGCAAACAUGUCCUUUUCGAAGGGCGCAAUAUUAGAACUACUGGCUUGCCGGCGGUUGAUUUCAAUUAUCGUUUUUAUAUCGGAGGGUGACUUCCGAUGGCCGUAAACUGUGUACGCCCUAUCACCCAGCAGGUUAAUCAUUCGCUAACCAGGGGUAUUACGGGUAACGGAGAACUAGGGUUCGUCUCCGGAGAAGAAGCCUUUGAAAGGCUACUACAUCCAAGGAAGGCAGCAGGCGCGUAACUUAUCCACUACCACAGUGAGAUAGUAACUAGUCUUAACUAUUGACUGAUCUUUUAGGUUAGUCAUGGUCCAUGAGUUGAGCCUAAAUAGCUCUUCGAGGACCAAGUGGAGGGCAAGUCUGGUGCCAGCAGCCGCGGUAAUUCCAGCU
This 507-nucleotide ribosomal RNA is filed under the name Rhabditis sp. EM-2016. Its description in RNAcentral is "bacterial SSU rRNA". It matches the Rfam family "Eukaryotic small subunit ribosomal RNA", at positions 39 to 590 of the family's 1831-position model. The record is from RNAcentral. Lineage: Eukaryota; Metazoa; Nematoda; Chromadorea; Rhabditida; Rhabditidae.